GCGAAGGAGAAUUCUCUUUAAUAGGGA
This 27-nucleotide non-coding RNA is filed under the name Mus musculus (house mouse). The record is from RNAcentral. Lineage: Eukaryota; Metazoa; Chordata; Mammalia; Rodentia; Muridae.